Ornithodoros turicata is the source of this 2539-nucleotide long non-coding RNA. RefSeq lists it as uncharacterized. The record is from RefSeq and is a predicted model, not a curated record. The transcript is spliced from 5 exons. NCBI's taxonomy places the organism in Eukaryota, Metazoa, Arthropoda, Arachnida, Ixodida, Argasidae.
CAUGCCUCAUGUUUCAUUUGCGCAACAGGUGCAGUCGCCCCUUUGGGCAGUUCUGGUGAAGCUGCUGCUAUUCCAAGUCAUCCGUAACGUCCAAGUACAGUAUGUUGUACCGUGUUUUCGGGGUCCACCUACAAACCGUGAUCCCUUGCUGAUCAAUUCAACCUGCAGUGGUGUGGUAUCGCAGGGGCCCAACACAGAGACACCAAGUUUGCUAGAGUCUGCAAUUGAGAAUGCUGUUCUCUACAUGAACCAGCAGGUGACCAGCGCUCUGCCUCGUUUCCGCACACGCACAUAGAGCAGUCUCCCUGCCUGUCACCUUCAAUAACUCUCUCCAGUAAUUCUCAAAAUGAAUCAACUGCGUCUGCUAGAGUUCACCACAACACCAUUACGGAUGCUGUUGUAAAGAGCACUGUAGAAGCUGGCUGCCCUGGGCCAGUGACAGUGGUGGUGGCCGAAUUGGAAGGCGAAAGAAGAAGCAGACAGCAGAGGUGUGAGAAAAGAAACAUCCCAUCAGCGAAAGAUGCCGUUUUGUUGCAGGACCAGUCAGUGCGCCACCCAACUGCACUCCUGCUGUAUUCUCUGUGCACUAUUUUAAGUGCACAAUGGACACGUUCACAGGAGUCCCACAUGUGGACGAACCACAGCGGAAUGGUUUUCCUGUAGCCUAGAUAUCUGUAGCUUUCUACCUCAGUAGUACCACACCUGCAAGGCGGUUGUUGGUAUUUGGUAAAUGAAAACAGGCGGCUGUGAGAAGAACAUGGGGUACAGGUAAGAUGAUGAUGAUUAUUCAGGUUUUUAUGGCGCACGGACAACUAAGGUCAUAGUGCGCCAAAGCUAUGGUGAAAAGACAAUGGGGAUGGUUGGUGACUAUGUAAAAGCAACAAGAUUAAACUAAAACCAUAGUUUUAGAAAUGUUUAGACAGUAAAACAAGAUACAUGAGCAGCUGGGUAAAACUAUAUUGCAUUUAAAUACCAAUAUCUUUAAAAUAGUUAAAAACUCUCAUGAAGGGUAAAAGAGGCUCAUCACCCAACAACAAGGCUGGAUGAAGUGGCAACUGAUAUCUGUAAAGCUCUUUAAAGUGAUACUGACGAUGAGGUUCAUAUGCAGGACACGUAAUUAGGAUGUGCAGCACAGACAGCUGCUCCCCACACUGCGUACAUUCCGGUGGUUCCUCUCGGCGCAGUAAAAAACCAUGUGUGAGGUGUGUGUGACCAAUGCGUAAGCGACUAAAAACUAUUGAAUGGAGACGAUUUUUAAAACUCGGUAUGCUUCCUAAAAUUGUGUUUUUUGACAUCCAAAGCUUGUUGUUUUCUCGUGUAGCCCACUCUCGUUGCCAUUUCACAUUAAUUUUCCUCCUCAGGACUGACCUAAGGUCUUGAGAGGGACUCUCCAAUAGGCCCACUUCAGAAGAGAGCGCAGCUGCAGCUGCUGCAUCUGCGAGUUCAUUGCCGGGUAUCCCAACGUGGCUGGGAACCCAGCAAAAACCUAAACAGAGACCUUUUUUGAUUACCUUGGUUGCAAGAUAUCGGGCCCUUAAUACAAGGUUUUAACAGUGGAACAACGGUGGCAGUUUUCCAUGCGGAUGGUAAUGUGCUGUCUGCCCAGAUUCGGUUGAAGAAACGAAGCAAGCAUUCUUUCGAUGUUUCGGACAAGUGCUGAAGCAUGGAAUAUGUCACUCGGUCUGGACCAGGUGAGGUAGCCUUUGCUGAAGAUAAUCCCCGCCACUCAUUCGAAUUCUCUUCUUUUCUGCGGUGUCUUUGAUCUUAAGAAAGUUUUUACUAUAAUGAGAUAAGUCAGAAAUUCUUUGGAAAUGCUCCCCAAGCGCAUUCGCCUGCUCCUCUAGGCUUUCAUAUACCUGACCGUUAACUUCUAAAAGAGGGACAGAAUGACUGAUGUGUUCUCCUCUGAUUUUGCGAAGUCUGUCCCAUACCACUUUGGAUGGGGUAUUACAAGACAGAGACGAUACAAAGGCGUGCCAAGAGGACCGCUUAGCUUGCUUGCGUGUCCACCUGGCCUUUGCUCUUGCCUUUUUAAAAAGUAGGAGAUUUUGUGAUGUGGGGUACCUCCGAAAUGUGCCCCAUGCCCGAUUUUGCAGUUUGCGAGUUUCCUCGCAUUCACUGUUCCACCAGGGUUUAGGUCGCUUUGGGAGACGACCGGAAGCCUGGGGAAUGAAUUGUGUUGCUGCAUCGAGGAUGAUGUUACUAAUAAGAUUGCUAGCUUCCUCGAUUGUCACCCUAUCAAUAGGAAUCAGAGAGAGGUCACAUUUUUCAGAAAACUGAUUCCAGCCAGCUAUUUCAAAUUUCCACCUGGGAGGGCGUGUCGUCAAAGUGUCGACUAGAGUAAGGUAUUUUAACACCACUGGGAAGUGGUCACUUCCAGGUGGGUUUUGUUUUACAGUCCAUUCUAUCUACUGAAACAAGGAUGGACUGCAAAAAGACAGGUCUAAGGCUGAGAGAGUCUGACUUGAAGAAUGUAUGUAUGUGGGUGCCCUUGUGUUUAAGAGACAGAUGGAUGUUGAUAAUAAAAAUUUCUCUAACA